Molecule: ribosomal RNA, 502 nt
Filed under: uncultured bacterium
Lineage: Bacteria
Description: partial 16S ribosomal RNA
Rfam family: Bacterial small subunit ribosomal RNA
Source: RNAcentral
AUUGAACGCUGGCGGAAUGCUUUACACAUGCAAGUCGAACGGCAGCACGGGUGCUUGCACCUGGUGGCGAGUGGCGAACGGGUGAGUAAUAUAUCGGAACGUAUCCAAUAAUGGGGGAUAACUAGCCGAAAGGUUAGCUAAUACCGCAUACGCCCUGAGGGGGAAAGCUGGGGAUCGUAAGACCUAGCGUUGAUGGAGCGGCCGAUAUCUGAUUAGCUAGUUGGUGGGGUAAGAGCCUACCAAGGCGACGAUCAGUAGCUGGUCUGAGAGGACGACCAGCCACACUGGAACUGAGACACGGUCCAGACUCCUACGGGAGGCAGCAGUGGGGAAUUUUGGACAAUGGGGGCAACCCUGAUCCAGCCAUUCCGCGUGAGUGAAGAAGGCCUUCGGGUUGUAAAGCUCUUUCGCAAGGGAAGAAAACUCGAUCUCUAAUAUAGGUUGAGGCUGACGGUACCUUGAUAAGAAGCACCGGCUAACUACGUGCCAGCCGCCGCAGUAA